Molecule: long non-coding RNA, 3312 nt
Filed under: Zea mays
Lineage: Eukaryota; Viridiplantae; Streptophyta; Magnoliopsida; Poales; Poaceae
Description: long non-coding RNA (ZMAY_LNC004185)
Source: RNAcentral
UUACAAAACAUUCUUUUUAUUUCUAAAACUGAAGGUUAUUACAUGGGAAGGUUACAUUUAUUACAAGUCCUGAUAUACUCAAAGUGCAUAACUUAUUACAAUAGCAGAAAGGUAGGAACCCUCCAAAGCUUAUACAUAAGCCUAACUAAUCUUCCUCCAGAACUGGAAACGUCCUCCAGCCUUAGGAACAGGUAGUGUACUCCUCAUCACCUACAACAACAUGGGUUCGAAAACCCUGAGUACGGAGUGUACUUUCGUAAGUCUUACCCGACUAAGGAAAAAUGACUCUCAAAGAUAUGCUGGUUAAACAGGAAUCAAGGAAAAGGCUUUAGCAAGAAUCAACUUAGAUAGUUUUGCAGAAAUAGCUUACUAAAGUGAGUCCUUACUUUCAAUAUUUUAACGCCAGAUUAAAUAUUAAUAGACUCUGGUUGCAUCUAGUCUAAUUUCACCAUCUCAUCAAUACAACAUCAUUUUUAUUCUUAAUGUUUACAUCCUGACUUAGGUUGCAGGUCAGAGAUCAAGUCUCCACUGUCCGGAGAUAUAACGACGAUCCGAAUCGAUUUACUCAGCUGAGGAUCUCUAACCACACGACAUAUGUUUCUCGUAACUCUUGCAUAUGUCUACCAUUCCCACGGAUCCUCCACUGCAUGAACAGGUCCGCGCCACCCGAGAGCACACCACCCCUUUUAGGCGGUCCUUUGCCAGGAGGGUACGUGCCACUCUCGCCAUCUCUUCACUCCCAGUGCGCGAUUGUCUUUUCAUGUAUGGAAUAGCCGGGUUCAAUCUUAUCCUGUCCCAUAUCCAGGGCAUGUGGCUAGUUAAGAUAGUCCUUGAUCAUACAGGCCUACAUACGCAUCCAAUCCUUAAUUAACCUAGGUAGAACAUCACCUGUUCCUAGCCCAAGUCCCAAUUUAAGUACUUCCAUCCUUAGGAUUUUUUUGUGUUCCUUAGGAUGAAAAGAGCAUUAUAGGAAACUUUGCAGUAAGAUCCCAUCAUGCUCCCAAUGAAAAUAUUCUUGCAGGUAGAAGCCAUCCUUCCUCAGGAUAUCCCCUGAGCUAGGCAUUAAUGCAAAAGACAACCUCUAUCCACAAGAUCUAAGCAGGGCUAAGCAUUUUUGUAAAUCAUAUUUUGAUACUUCAUCAGAAGUAUCUAUAAAGGUAUGGAUAUCAAGGUAGGCAAUGCAUCCAAUAGUUUUCAAGCAACUCCUAUAAACUUAAUGCACAUUUCACUAGACUUAAAGUGUAUAAAAAUCUUUUAAAAACACAAGGAAGGGGUUGCAUGCACCGGGGCUUGCCUUAUUGCAGUGAAGAGGUACUAGAUCCUUCUACCCAACCUUUAGUUAGAUAGCUCCAUCCACUUGAUGAGCAGGCACUGGAGUAGACUCCUCUUUAGCAACCACUUCAUCUUGAAUCUUCACUCUUUAUUUUGGGAGCUCUACAUGAAAUGACAUGAACAUGAAUGCUUAUGCUUAUGCUGUUUGCAAAUAAAAUACUAUAAAACAUCACAAGACUAUACUUCCUCUCAAUUCCACAUCAAGGUUUGACAUACUCCCCUACUAGGAGUUGUUCCUCUAUAAUCACUCUUUAUCUUUGUUUCAAUGGCUACCAGCUAACCCCAAACAGAUCUCAAGUUGAACACCAACUUGAGGUGAAAACACAAAAAUUUAAAUUCAGGUAACUGAAAAAGAAUUGAACCAAAUUCAGUUUCAGAUACUGAAACUUUACAUAGUCGACACCACAACCAAUAUUCAGUCUCUGUUUCCCCUCACUUCCAUUCACAAACACAUGUGAGAGCAGCAGGGGUGAUCUUCGUUAGUUUUCAAAUGAAAGCCUGAACUCAAUUACCUUAGGCCUGCUGCCCCAUCUACACACCUCCCUGUUAAAGCCCCUGGUAUCUCACAAUUUCAUAUGGUACAGACCAAAACUUAUUAGCCAAAGUUAUACUCCGACUUUAGCUUUACCAACUUGGUAUAACAACCCAUGAUUGAAAACAUUCAGAGCAAAUUUUAUUAUGCCCCAAAGUUACCCCCACACUGAACUGCUAUUUCAGCUAACUAAAUAAAAUUCAGUCACAGUCACUCUGACAGUCCAGUUUUGGACAGCUGUUAUUUCCUACUUUAUGUGGAUUCAAGCCUAACUUGCUUAAAGGGAUUGGCUCCUUAUAACAUGGUCUUUCACUUUGCUAUAGCAUUCCUACCCCAAUUAUUCUUGGAUUAAUUACCACAAGGACCCAAAUUGAAUAAAAACACAUAAAUUCAGACUUAAAUAUUAUUCUAAGUCUGAAUCCCAACACUUGACAAUCCACAUUUUGGCCACUUUUACUCCCAAAUUUUUGUGGAACCAAGUCCACCUCACUUUAUAAAACUUGCUCUCUUUACUAUGGUCUCCAGCUUUGCUAUGGAAACUUUAAUCCAAAACUACAUGAAUCAGUCACAAAUGAAUCCCAAACUAGGCAUCCUGUUGCAAUUCAGUUCUCAGAACUGAAUAAAAAUUCAGUUAUGUGUCCAGCCUGACAGACCAACUUUAGCCAACCCUUUUCUUCAAUUUUUACACAGCAACAGACCAAGCUCACAUUACCAAGGUUAUUCCUUAGAUAUAGCUCUAAUACUUUGGUAUAGUACCCUUAGGUUGAAAACAUUCAGAACAAUUUUUUUGUGAAGCACCAAAGUGGAGCUCACACACUAGAAUCUAGUUUCAGCCUUCUGCACUAAGUCUGGGAUCCAGAAACCUGACAGCCUAUGUUUGAGCAAAUUUCACAUCUAGUUCCAGGCAACCAAUAGUGAUAGAGUUCAAGCAGUAAAUGGUGUGAGCUUCACUGACCUGAGAUGAUUACAGAACAAGCUUCAUCCAGGCCAGCAACUCCUUAGGACGUCCGAGCCAUGGCGAGGUGGGAGAACUGCAGGCGUGGUCACCAGCACAGGGGAAUGGCAUGCGAUGAACUGGAGAGGGCUACAGAGACCUGUAGACUUUAGAAUCACCACCCUAAGCAGGGAACCAUGGCUAGACUCGAGACAAGGAGGAGAGCUUCACUGAACCUGCACCAAAGGCACUGCAAAUGUAGGAAAGUGUUCCCUGAACCACUACACAACUCAGUGGGGAAGUCUUCUGGGGAUGCCAGCACUGCAUGGCUAACACACAUGGCUUCCAUGCACAAACCUUGCUGGCACAGCGCACAACUCACAAAUAUCACUAAAACACUGAAUCUGGUCUGUUUGAUAUUGAUAAGGAGCAAGCAGUCAAAACUGCACCUACGAACAGACACAUUCCAGCUCACCUUGAGACUUAUUAGUGGGGAGCGAGACUUCUAGUCCUC